This 439-nucleotide ribosomal RNA is filed under the name uncultured soil bacterium. RNAcentral's name for it is "bacterial SSU rRNA". It matches the Rfam family "Bacterial small subunit ribosomal RNA", at positions 66 to 519 of the family's 1533-position model. The record is from RNAcentral.
ACGAUUAAAGCUCUCUUCGGAGAGUGCAUAGAGUGGCGCACGGGUGAGUAACACGUAAGUAAUCUACCCUCGAGUGGGGAAUAACGUCCGGAAACGGACGCUAAUACCGCAUAAUGCAGCGGCACCGCAAGGUGACAGUUGUUAAAGAUUUAUCGCUUGAGGAGGAGCUUGCGGCAGAUUAGCUAGUUGGUAAGGUAAUGGCUUACCAAGGCUACGAUCUGUAACCGGUCUAAGAGGACGGUCGGUCACACUGACACUGAAUAACGGGUCAGACUCCUACGGGAGGCAGCAGUCGGGAAUUUUGGGCAAUGGGCGAAAGCCUGACCCAGCAACGCCGCGUGAAGGAUGAAGUAUUUCGGUAUGUAAACUUCGAAAGAAUAGGAAGAAUAAAUGACGGUACUAUUUAUAAGGUCCGGCUAACUACGUGCCAGCAGCCGCG